RNAcentral lists this transfer RNA (73 nucleotides) under Ceratitis capitata (Mediterranean fruit fly). Its description in RNAcentral is "tRNA-Gly". Lineage: Eukaryota; Metazoa; Arthropoda; Insecta; Diptera; Tephritidae. The record is from RNAcentral.
GGCCGUGAUAGCCGAGUGGUUAGCGUUGCCUACUGCCAUUCGGAAGGACAGGGUUCGAGUCCUGGUCAGACCA